This 497-nucleotide ribosomal RNA is filed under the name uncultured bacterium. RNAcentral describes it as "partial 16S ribosomal RNA". It matches the Rfam family "Bacterial small subunit ribosomal RNA", at positions 28 to 507 of the family's 1533-position model. The record is from RNAcentral.
GAUGAACGCUGGCGGCGUGCCUAAUACAUGCAAGUCGAGCGAACAGACGAGGAGCUUGCUCCUCUGACGUUAGCGGCGGACGGGUGAGUAACACGUGGAUAACCUACCUAUAAGACUGGGAUAACUUCGGGAAACCGGAGCUAAUACCGGAUAAUAUAUUGAACCGCAUGGUUCAAUAGUGAAAGACGGUUUUGCUUUCACUUAUAGGUGGAUCCGCGCCGCAUUAGCUAGUUGGUAAGGUAACGGCUUACCAAGGCAACGAUGCGUAGCCGACCUGAGAGGGUGAUCGGCCACACUGGAACUGAGACACGGUCCAGACUCCUACGGGAGGCAGCAGUAGGGAAUCUUCCGCAAUGGGCGAAAGCCUGACGGAGCAACGCCGCGUGAGUGAUGAAGGUCUUCGGAUCGUAAAACUCUGUUAUUAGGGAAGAACAAAUGUGUAAGUAACUAUGCACGUCUUGACGGUACCUAAUCAGAAAGCCACGGCUAACUACGUG